UACGUAGGGUGCAAGCGUUGUCCGGAAUUACUGGGCGUAAAGGGCUCGUAGGUGGCCAACUAAGUCAGACGUGAAAUCCCCAGGCUCAACUUGGGAACUGCGUCUAAUACUGGAUGGCUUGAAUUCGGGAGAGGGAUGCAGAAUUCCAGGUGUAGCGGUGAAAUGCGUAGAUAUCUGGAGGAAUACCGGUGGCGAAGGCGGCAUCCUGGACCGAGAUUGACACUGAUGAGCGAAAGCUAGGGGAGCAAACGGG
This 253-nucleotide ribosomal RNA is filed under the name uncultured bacterium. RNAcentral describes it as "partial 16S ribosomal RNA". It matches the Rfam family "Bacterial small subunit ribosomal RNA", at positions 524 to 776 of the family's 1533-position model. The record is from RNAcentral.